Molecule: ribosomal RNA, 492 nt
Filed under: uncultured Sphingobacteriales bacterium
Lineage: Bacteria; Pseudomonadati; Bacteroidota; Sphingobacteriia; Sphingobacteriales
Description: bacterial SSU rRNA
Rfam family: Bacterial small subunit ribosomal RNA
Source: RNAcentral
AGCCCGCUCAGAAACUUAAAGGAAUUGACGGGGCCCGCACAAGCGGAGGAGCAUGUGGUUAAUUCGAUGAUACGCGAGGAACCUUACCUGGGCUCGAACGUAAGAUGACUGUAGGUGAAAGCUUACAUCUCUUCGGAGCAUUUUACGAGGUGCUGCAUGGUUGUCGUCAGCUCGUGCCGUGAGGUGUCGGGUUAAGUCCCAUAACGAGCGCAACCCCUACCUUAGUUGCCAUCAGGUUAAGCUGGGGACUCUAAAGGAACUGCCUACGCAAGUAGUGAGGAAGCGGGGAUGACGUCAAAUCAGCACGGCCCUUACGUCCAGGGCUACACACGUGCUACAAUGGCCGAUACAGAGGGCAGCUACCUGGUGACAGGAUGCAAAUCUCCAAAGUCGGUCUCAGUUCGGAUCGGAGUCUGCAACCCGACUCCGUGAAGUUGGAUUCGCUAGUAAUCGCGCAUCAGCCAUGGCGCGGUGAAUACGUUCCCGGGCCUU